RNAcentral lists this ribosomal RNA (2342 nucleotides) under soil metagenome. RNAcentral describes it as "bacterial LSU rRNA". It matches the Rfam family "Bacterial large subunit ribosomal RNA", at positions 3 to 2294 of the family's 2925-position model. The record is from RNAcentral.
UCAAGCUACUAAGGGCACACGGUGAAUGCCUAGGCGCGAGUAGGCGAUGAAGGACGCGGCAAGCUGCGAAAAGCUUCGGGGAGCCGCUAAGCGGGCGUUGAUCCGAAGAUCUCCGAAUGGGGCAACCCGGUCGUGGUAGUGCACGAUCAUCCCGCGCUGAAUUCAUAGGCGCGGCGAGGCGAACGCGGGGAAGUGAAACAUCUCAGUACCCGCAGGAAAAGAAAUCAACCGAGAUUCCGCUAGUAGCGGCGAGCGAACGCGGAGAAGCCCAAACCGGCUGUAGCGAUACAUCCGGUGUUGUGGGGCUGCCUCUGGGGCAACCCGGGGAGUCAACAAGCGACGGCGGAGCAGAAGGUGCCUGGAAAGGCCCACCACAGACGGUGAUAGUCCAGUAAGCGGCCGCUCGUCGUCUCCCUGCAGGCAGUUCCCGAGUACCGCGAGGCACGUGCAACCUCGUGGGAAUCUGGGGGGACCAUCCUCCAAGGCUAAACACUCACUCGCGACCGAUAGUGAACCAGUACCGUGAGGGAAAGGUGAAAAGCACCCCGGCGAGGGGAGUGAAACAGUACCUGAAACCGUGUGCUUACAAGCAGUGGAAGGGCGUUGUGGCCGCAAGGCGACGUGCCUGACCGCGUGCCUUUUGCUUAAUGAGUCUGCGACUUACUCGAUGCGGCAAGGUUAAGCCGUGGCAGGUGAAGCCGAAGCGAAAGCGAGUCCGAACAGGGCGUGCAGUCGUGUCGAGUAGACCCGAAGCGGGAUGAUCUACCCAUGGCCAGGGUAAAGGCCCGGUAACACGGGCUGGAGGCCCGAACUGGUGAAGGUUGAAAACUUCUCGGAUGAGCUGUGGGUAGGGGUGAAAGGCUAAUCAAAUUCCGUGAUAGCUGGUUCUCCCCGAAAUAGCUUGAGGACUAGCCCUGCGUAUUAACUGACGGAGGUAGAGCACUGAAUGGACUAGGGGCCUUACCCGGUUACCAAACCCAAUCAAACUCCGAAUACCGUCAAGUCUUACCGCAGGAGUCAGACUACGGGUGCUAAGAUUCGUGGUCAAAAGGGAAACAGCCCAGAUCGCCAGCUAAGGUCCCUAAAUGUAUGCUAAGUGGGAAAGGUUGUGGAAGCGCUUAGACAGCCAGGAGGUUUGCUUAGAAGCAGCAAUCCUUUAAAGAAAGCGUAAUAGCUCACUGGUCAAGCGGGCCUGCGCCGAAAAUAUAACGGGGCUCAAGCAUAUUACCGAAGCUGCGGAUUUCAGAGCAAUCUGGAGUGGUAGGGGAGCAUUCUGUCGUAGGCUGAAGGCGGACCGUAAGGACCGCUGGACGAAACAGAAGAGAUUCUGCCGGCAUAAGUAGCGAUAAAACGGAUGAAAAAUCCGUUCGCCGAAAACCUAAGGUUUCCUGGGCAAUGUUAAUCAUCCCAGGGUGAGUCGGUACCUAAGACGAGGCCGAAAGGAAUAGUCGAUGGACAGCAGGUUAAUAUUCCUGCACUACUGUAGUGGCGUUAUCAGCAAUGGGGGGACGCAGGAAGGUAGGCCUACAGACGAUUGGAAAUGUCUGGCCGCGAUUCGAGGGGGAUCCCGUAGGUAAAUCCGCGGGGUCAUUACUCUGAGGAAAGCGGGGAAGCGAGCCUUCGGGCAAGCCAACUGGUUGAUCCUACGCUGCCAAGAAAAACCUCUAGCGAGUCACUAUAGUAACCGUACCGCAGACCGACACAGGUAGGUAGGAGGAAAACUCUAAGGCGCUUGAGAGAACUCUGGCUAAGGAACUAGGCAAAUUAGCCCCGUAACUUCGGGAGAAGGGGCGCCUCAGUAGGGUGUCAAAGCCCGAGGAGGCCGCAGUGAAAUGGCUCUGGCGACUGUUUAUCAAAAACACAGGUGUCUGCUAAGCCGUAAGGCGAUGUAUAGGCACUGAUGCCUGCCCGGUGCCGGAAGGUUAACAGGAGGGGUUAGUCGCAAGGCGAAGCCCUGAAUCGAAGCCCCGGUAAACGGCGGCCGUAACUAUAACGGUCCUAAGGUAGCGAAAUUCCUUGUCGGGUAAGUUCCGACCUGCACGAAUGGCAUAACGACUGGAGCACUGUCUCGGCCAGAGACUCAGCGAACUUGUAUCAUCGGUGAAGAUGCCGAUUACCCGCAACUAGACGGAAAGACCCUGUGAACCUUUACUAUAGCUUGGCAAUGAAUUUUGGAACGGUAUGUGUAGGAUAGGUGGGAGACGUUGAGACGGGGGCGCUAGCUCUCGUGGAGUCGCCGUUGAAAUACCACCCUUAUUUUUCUGGAAUUCUAACCUGGGCCCAUUAUCUGGGUCGGGGACAUUGCCUGGUGGGUAGUUUGACUGGGGCGGUCGCCUCCCAAA